GACGAACGCUGGCGGCGUGCCUAACACAUGCAAGUCGAACGGAACUCGGGACUUCGGUUCUGAGUUUAGUGGCGAACGGGUGAGUAACGCGUGAGGAACCUGCCUUUCAGUGGGGGACAACAGUUGGAAACGACUGCUAAUACCGCAUAAUGUAUCGAAGGGGCAUCCCUUUGAUACCAAAGCUUUAUGUGCUGAAAGAUGGCCUCGCGUCUGAUUAGAUAGUUGGUGAGGUAACGGCUCACCAAGUCUGCGAUCAGUAGCCGGUCUGAGAGGAUGAACGGCCACAUUGGGACUGAGAUACGGCCCAGACUCCUACGGGAGGCAGCAGUGGGGAAUAUUGGGCAAUGGGGGAAACCCUGACCCAGCAACGCCGCGUGAAGGAAGAAGGCCUUC
Molecule: ribosomal RNA, 393 nt
Filed under: uncultured bacterium
Lineage: Bacteria
Description: bacterial SSU rRNA
Rfam family: Bacterial small subunit ribosomal RNA
Source: RNAcentral